AAAAAUUAAUUACGCCGCAGACAGCAAGCGGACGAUAAGUCCUUAAUCUCUUGCCGAGGUUGUAAGUUCAAAAUAACUUUAAUUGUGUAAUUUUGUCCUUGCGUACCUUUGCGGCGCAGGGUUUUUUAUUUUGA
Molecule: small RNA, 134 nt
Filed under: chicken gut metagenome
Description: Ribosomal protein L10 leader
Rfam family: Ribosomal protein L10 leader
About the family: This family is a putative r-protein leader autoregulatory structure found in B. subtilis and other low-GC Gram-positive bacteria. It is located in the 5' untranslated regions of mRNAs encoding ribosomal proteins L10 and L12 (rplJ-rplL). A Rho-independent transcription terminator structure that is probably involved in regulation is included at the 3' end.
Source: RNAcentral